RNAcentral lists this ribosomal RNA (119 nucleotides) under Pteropus alecto (black flying fox). Lineage: Eukaryota; Metazoa; Chordata; Mammalia; Chiroptera; Pteropodidae. The record is from RNAcentral.
GUCAACGGCCAUGCUACCCUGAACAAGCCCGAUCUGGUCUGAUUUCUGAAGCUAAGCAGGGUCGGGCCUAGUUAGUACUUGGAUGGAAGGCCACCUAGGAAGACCAGGUGCUGUAGGCG